This 497-nucleotide ribosomal RNA is filed under the name uncultured bacterium. RNAcentral's name for it is "partial 16S ribosomal RNA". It matches the Rfam family "Bacterial small subunit ribosomal RNA", at positions 28 to 507 of the family's 1533-position model. The record is from RNAcentral.
GAUGAACGCUGGCGGCGUGCCUAAUACAUGCAAGUCGAGCGAACGGACGAGAAGCUUGCUUCUCUGAUGUUAGCGGCGGACGGGUGAGUAACACGUGGAUAACCUACCUAUAAGACUUGGAUAACUUCGGGAAACCGGAGCUAAUACCGGAUAAUAUUUUGAACCGCAUGGUUCAAAAGUGAAAGACGGUCUUGCUGUCACUUAUAGAUGGAUCCGCGCUGCAUUAGCUAGUUGGUAAGGUAACGGCUUACCAAGGCAACGAUGCAUAGCCGACCUGCGAGGGUGAGCGGCCACACUGGAACGGAGACACGGUCCAGACUCCUACGGGAGGCAGCAGUAGGGAAGCUUGCGGAAUGGGCGAAAGCCUGACGGAGCAACGCCGCGUGAGUGAUGAAGGUCUUCGGAUCGUAAAACUCUGUUAGUAGGGAAGAACAUUUGUGUAAGUAACUGUGCACAUCGUGACGGUACCUAAUCAGAAAGCCACGGCUAACUACGUG